Molecule: long non-coding RNA, 708 nt
Organism: Notolabrus celidotus (New Zealand spotty)
Lineage: Eukaryota; Metazoa; Chordata; Actinopteri; Labriformes; Labridae
Exons: 3
Source: RefSeq, a predicted model, not a curated record
CAGUGAGCGAGACAAGCCUGAGCCGCCCUGACAGUGGUUCUUCAGAUUCUUCACUGUUCCCAUCGGGAGUGAUAUUUUCGGGUUUUUCCAAUGUGUGGCUUUGGCACCUCUCCGAACACUUCUAUUUAAUCUCUGUUUGGCCCAGCUAAGAGCCUGAAGGCAACGCUCGGGGUUUACCACCUGAUCACUCCAGCUCGUACCUUCAGAAGCUUCAGGUCGUGACCAAGAGGAUGAAAUCGCAGAUACAAGAAGCUGAAAUUAGUUUUCACUGCAGGGAUAGGCCGUGCAGCUCAGAUUCCCAGAUACCCUAUCUAAGCUCCUAACCUAUUCUUGCAACAGUUGCUUCUUUAUGUUGACCAGAACCUGCAGUGGGAGUAGGGGGGGUUGGGCAUCUGAUUAGGACAUCUCCCUGAGGCCUCCCCGUGGAGGUAUUCUGGGCACGUCUGACUGAAAAGAAGCCCAGAAGACUCAGAAGGGAUUAUAUAUUCCUACUGGUAUGGGAAUGCCUCAGGAUGCCCUAGAAGGAGCUUGGAGGGCAUGGCUGGGAAAGGACUCCUAAGCUGCUCUUAUUAGUGAGCUGCCACUGGAGCCAAGGCCAUGGUGAGGGGAUUAAUGUACGAAUAUAUGAAAGUUGUUUUUUGAUUCGUAUUGCUUUGGGUUGCACUACAAUGGAAUAGUAAAUGGAAUAAAGUAAAACAUUUAUUUAGU